Molecule: ribosomal RNA, 253 nt
Filed under: uncultured bacterium
Lineage: Bacteria
Description: partial 16S ribosomal RNA
Rfam family: Bacterial small subunit ribosomal RNA
Source: RNAcentral
UACGUAGGGUGCAAGCGUUGUUCGGAAUUAUUGGGCGUAAAGAGCUCGUAGGCGGUUUGUUGCGUCGGCUGUGAAAUCCCGAGGCUCAACCUCGGGUCUGCAGUCGAUACGAGCAAACUAGAGUGUUGCAGGGGAGACUGGAAUUCCUGGUGUAGCGGUGAAAUGCGCAGAUAUCAGGAGGAACACCGGUGGCGAAGGCGGGUCUCUGGGCAACAACUGACGCUGAGGAGCGAAAGCGUGGGGAGCAAACAGG